Frieseomelitta varia is the source of this 126-nucleotide long non-coding RNA. RefSeq lists it as uncharacterized. The record is from RefSeq and is a predicted model, not a curated record. Lineage: Eukaryota; Metazoa; Arthropoda; Insecta; Hymenoptera; Apidae. The transcript has 2 exons.
GUCCGGUUGGACGACGGAAAAAUCGAUGGGAGAGCAAGUGGCUUAGAGCCAGUUUUCCGGGGACAACUGCGUUUCCGGGGGACAACGUUCCUCGCACAUUGUCGAGUAAUCCUGGAAACAACUUGU